AGUGAACGCUGGCGGUAGGCCUAACACAUGCAAGUCGAACGGCAGCACAGUAAGAGCUUGCUCUUACGGGUGGCGAGUGGCGGACGGGUGAGGAAUACAUCGGAAUCUACUUUUUCGUGGGGGAUAACGUAGGGAAACUUACGCUAAUACCGCAUACGACAUACGGGUGAAAGCAGGGGAUCUUCGGACCUUGCGCGAUUGAAUGAGCCGAUGUCGGAUUAGCUAGUUGGCGGGGUAAAGGCCCACCAAGGCGACGAUCCGUAGCUGGUCUGAGAGGAUGAUCAGCCACACUGGAACUGAGACACGGUCCAGACUCCUACGGGAGGCAGCAGUGGGGAAUAUUGGACAAUGGGCGCAAGCCUGAUCCAGCCAUACCGCGUGGGUGAAGAAGGCCUUCGGGUUGUAAAGCCCUUUUGUUGGGAAAGAAAAGCAGCAGGUUAAUACCCCGCUGUUCUGACGGUACCCAAAGAAUAAGCACCGGCUAACUUCGUA
RNAcentral lists this ribosomal RNA (492 nucleotides) under uncultured bacterium. RNAcentral's name for it is "partial 16S ribosomal RNA". It matches the Rfam family "Bacterial small subunit ribosomal RNA", at positions 29 to 507 of the family's 1533-position model. The record is from RNAcentral.